CCGGAUUUAUUUUGAACCGCAUGGUUCAAAAGUGAAAGACGGUCUUGCUGUCACUUAUAGAUGGAUCCGCGCUGCAUUAGCUAGUUGGUAAGGUAACGGCUUACCAAGGCAACGAUGCAUAGCCGACCUGAGAGGGUGAUCGGCCACACUGGAACUGAGACACGGUCCAGACUCCUACGGGAGGCAGCAGUAGGGAAUCUUCCGCAAUGGGCGAAAGCCUGACGGAGCAACGCCGCGUGAGUGAUGAAGGUCUUCGGAUCGUAAAACUCUGUUAUUAGGGAAGAACAUAUGUGUAAGUAACUGUGCACAUCUUGACGGUACCUAAUCAGAAAGCCACGGCUAACUACGUGCCAGCAGCCGCGGUAAUACGUAGGUGGCAAGCGUUAUCCGGAAUUAUUGGGCGUAAAGCGCGCGUAGGCGGUUUUUUAAGUCUGAUGUGAAAGCCCACGGCUCAACCGUGGAGGGUCAUUGGAAACUGGAAAACUUGAGUGCAGAAGAGGAAAGUGGAAUUCCAUGUGUAGCGGUGAAAUGCGCAGAGAUAUGGAGGAACACCAGUGGCGAAGGCGACUUUCUGGUCUGUAACUGACGCUGAUGUGCGAAAGCGUGGGGAUCAAACAGGAUUAGAUACCCUGGUAGUCCACGCCGUAAACGAUGAGUGCUAAGUGUUAGGGGGUUUCCUCCCCUUAGUGCUGCAGCUAACGCAUUAAGCACUCCGCCUGGGGAGUACGACCGCAAGGUUGAACUCAAAGGAAUUGACGGGGACCCGCACAACCGUGGGAGCAUGUGGUUUAAUUCGAA
This 798-nucleotide ribosomal RNA is filed under the name Staphylococcus aureus. RNAcentral's name for it is "bacterial SSU rRNA". It matches the Rfam family "Bacterial small subunit ribosomal RNA", at positions 169 to 955 of the family's 1533-position model. The record is from RNAcentral. Lineage: Bacteria; Bacillati; Bacillota; Bacilli; Caryophanales; Staphylococcaceae.